Molecule: ribosomal RNA, 449 nt
Filed under: uncultured bacterium
Lineage: Bacteria
Description: partial 16S ribosomal RNA
Rfam family: Bacterial small subunit ribosomal RNA
Source: RNAcentral
UUCCCAGACUCCUACGGGAGGCAGCAGUGGGGAACAUUGGGCAAUGGGCGCAAGCCUGACCCAGCAACGCCGCGUGAAGGAAGAAGGCUUUCGGGUUGUAAACUUCUUUUAAGAGGGAAGAGCAGAAGACGGUACCUCUUGAAUAAGCCACGGCUAACUACGUGCCAGCAGCCGCGGUAAUACGUAGGUGGCAAGCGUUGUCCGGAUUUACUGGGUGUAAAGGGCGUGCAGCCGGAGAGACAAGUCAGAUGUGAAAUCCACGGGCUCAACCCGUGAACUGCAUUUGAAACUGUUUCCCUUGAGUGUCGGAGAGGUAAUCGGAAUUCCUUGUGUAGCGGUGAAAUGCGUAGAUAUAAGGAAGAACACCAGUUGCGAAGGCGGCUCUCUGGACUGUAACUGACACUGAGGCACGAAAGCGUGGGGAGCAAACAGGAUUAGAUACCCCUGUA